RNAcentral lists this ribosomal RNA (476 nucleotides) under uncultured bacterium. Its description in RNAcentral is "bacterial SSU rRNA". It matches the Rfam family "Bacterial small subunit ribosomal RNA", at positions 28 to 507 of the family's 1533-position model. The record is from RNAcentral.
GAUGAACGCUAGCGGCAGGCUUAACACAUGCAAGUCGAGGGGUAUAGUAGCAAUACUAGAGACCGGCGCACGGGUGCGUAACGCGUAUGCAACCUACCUUGAACAGGGGAAUAGCCCAGAGAAAUUUGGAUUAAUGCCCCAUAGCGUAUUGAGUUGGCAUCAGCACAAUACUAAAGUCACAACGGUUCAAGAUGGGCAUGCGUCCCAUUAGUUAGUUGGUAAGGUAACGGCUUACCAAGACGAUGAUGGGUAGGGGUCCUGAGAGGGAGAUCCCCCACACUGGUACUGAGACACGGACCAGACUCCUACGGGAGGCAGCAGUGAGGAAUAUUGGUCAAUGGGCGCAAGCCUGAACCAGCCAUGCCGCGUGCAGGAUGAAGCAUCUAUGGUGUGUAAACUGCUUUUGUACGGGAAGAAACAGCUCUUCGUGAAGAGCCUUGACGGUACCGUAAGAAUAAGGAUCGGCUAACUCCGUG